GAUGAACGCUGGCGGCGUGCCUAAUACAUGCAAGUCGAGCGAACAGACGAGGAGCUUGCUCCUCUGACGUUAGCGGCGGACGGGUGAGUAACACGUGGAUAACCUACCUAUAAGACUGGGAUAACUUCGGGAAACCGGAGCUAAUACCGGAUCAUAUAUUGAACCGCAUGGUUCAAUAGUGAAAGACGGUUUUGCUGUCACUUAUAGAUGGAUCCGCGCCGCAUUAGCUAGUUGGUAAGGUAACGGCUUACCAAGGCGACGAUGCGUAGCCGACCUGAGAGGGUGAUCGGCCACACUGGAACUGAGACACGGUCCAGACUCCUACGGGAGGCAGCAGUAGGGAAUCUUCGGCAAUGGGCGAAAGCCUGACGGAGCAACGCCGCGUGAGUGAUGAAGGUCUUCGGAUCGUAAAACUCUGUUAUUAGGGAAGAACAAAUGUGUAAGUAACUAUGCACGUCUUGACGGUACCUAAUCAGAAAGCCACGGCUAACUACGUG
Molecule: ribosomal RNA, 497 nt
Filed under: uncultured bacterium
Lineage: Bacteria
Description: partial 16S ribosomal RNA
Rfam family: Bacterial small subunit ribosomal RNA
Source: RNAcentral